UAGACGCCAUCCUCCAAAUAC
RNAcentral lists this non-coding RNA (21 nucleotides) under Caenorhabditis elegans. Lineage: Eukaryota; Metazoa; Nematoda; Chromadorea; Rhabditida; Rhabditidae. The record is from RNAcentral.